CAUGCUAUUGGAGUCCGAUUUAGCAUGCUAGUUGUACGAGUUUAGACUCGUAGCAGAUAGCUCAGUAACACGUGCCCAAACUACCCUAUCGAGCACGAUACCCUCGGGAAACUGAGGCUAAUAGUGCAUACGGCUCGCUGCCUGGAGUGGCACGAGCCCGAAAUGCUCAGGCGCGAUAGGAUGUGGCUGCGGCCGAUUAGGUAGACGGUGGGGUAACGGCCCACCGUGCCAGUAAUCGGUACGGGUUGUGAGAGCAAGAGCCCGGAGACGGUAUCUGAGACAAGAUACCGGGCCCUACGGGGCGCAGCAGGCGCGAAACCUUUACACUGCACGCCAGUGCGAUAAGGGGACUCCAAGUGCGAGGGCAUAUAGUCCUCGCUUUUUCCGACCGUAGGAUGGUCGGCGAAUAAGUGCUGGGCAAGACCGGUGCCAGCCGCCGCGGUAAUACCGGCAGCACAAGUGAUGACCGCUAUUAUUGGGCCUAAAGCGUCCGUAGCUGGCCACGCAAGUCCAUCGGGAAAUCUCUCCGCUCAACGGAGAGGCGUCCGGUGGAAACUGUGUGGCUUGGGACCGGAAGAUCCAGAGGGUACGUCUGGGGUAGGAGUGAAAUCCCGUAAUCCGAGACGGACCACCGGUGGCGAAAGCGCUCUGGAAAGACGGAUCCGACGGUGAGGGACGAAAGCUCGGGUCACGAACCGGAUUAGAUACCCGGGUAGUCCGAGCUGUAAACGAUGUCUGCUAGGUGUGACACAGGCUACGAGCCUGUGUUGUGCCGUAGGGAAGCCGUGAAGCAGACCGCCUGGGAAGUACGUCUGCAAGGAUGAAACUUAAAGGAAUUGGCGGGGGAGCACUACAACCGGAGGAGCCUGCGGUUUAAUUGGAGUCAACGCCGGAAAU
RNAcentral lists this ribosomal RNA (897 nucleotides) under uncultured euryarchaeote. Its description in RNAcentral is "bacterial SSU rRNA". It matches the Rfam family "Archaeal small subunit ribosomal RNA", at positions 25 to 925 of the family's 1478-position model. Lineage: Archaea; Methanobacteriati; Methanobacteriota. The record is from RNAcentral.